RNAcentral lists this ribosomal RNA (628 nucleotides) under Vibrio vulnificus. RNAcentral describes it as "bacterial SSU rRNA". It matches the Rfam family "Bacterial small subunit ribosomal RNA", at positions 40 to 657 of the family's 1533-position model. Lineage: Bacteria; Pseudomonadati; Pseudomonadota; Gammaproteobacteria; Vibrionales; Vibrionaceae. The record is from RNAcentral.
CGGCAGGCCUAACACAUGCAAGUCGAGCGGCAGCACAGAGGAACUUGUUCCUUGGGUGGCGAGCGGCGGACGGGUGAGUAAUGCCUGGGAAAUUGCCCUGAUGUGGGGGAUAACCAUUGGAAACGAUGGCUAAUACCGCAUGAUGCCUACGGGCCAAAGAGGGGGACCUUCGGGCCUCUCGCGUCAGGAUAUGCCCAGGUGGGAUUAGCUAGUUGGUGAGGUAAUGGCUCACCAAGGCGACGAUCCCUAGCUGGUCUGAGAGGAUGAUCAGCCACACUGGAACUGAGACACGGUCCAGACUCCUACGGGAGGCAGCAGUGGGGAAUAUUGCACAAUGGGCGCAAGCCUGAUGCAGCCAUGCCGCGUGUAUGAAGAAGGCCUUCGGGUUGUAAAGUACUUUCAGUCGUGAGGAAGGUUGUAGUGUGAAUAGCACUAUGAUUUGACGUUAGCGACAGAAGAAGCACCGGCUAACUCCGUGCCAGCAGCCGCGGUAAUACGGAGGGUGCGAGCGUUAAUCGGAAUUACUGGGCGUAAAGCGCAUGCAGGUGGUUUGUUAAGUCAGAUGUGAAAGCCCUGGGCUCAACCUAGGAGUUGCAUUUGAAACUGACAAGCUAGAGUACUGUAGAGG